UACGUAGGUGGCAAGCGUUAUCCGGAUUUAUUGGGCGUAAAGGGAACGCAGGCGGUCUGUUAAGUCAGCGGUCAAAGCCCGGGGCUCAACCCCGGCCCGCCGUUGAAACUGGCAGUCUCGAGUUGGAGAGAAGUAUGCGGAAUGCGCGGUGUAGCGGUGAAAUGCAUAGAUAUCACGCAGAACCCCGAUUGCGAAGGCAGCAUACCGGUGCACAACUGACGCUCAGGCACGAAAGCGUGGGUAUCGAACAGG
Molecule: ribosomal RNA, 252 nt
Filed under: uncultured Bacteroidales bacterium
Lineage: Bacteria; Pseudomonadati; Bacteroidota; Bacteroidia; Bacteroidales
Description: partial 16S ribosomal RNA
Rfam family: Bacterial small subunit ribosomal RNA
Source: RNAcentral